RNAcentral lists this ribosomal RNA (253 nucleotides) under uncultured bacterium. RNAcentral's name for it is "partial 16S ribosomal RNA". It matches the Rfam family "Bacterial small subunit ribosomal RNA", at positions 524 to 776 of the family's 1533-position model. The record is from RNAcentral.
UACAGAGGAUGCAAGCGUUAUCCGGAAUGAUUGGGCGUAAAGCGUGUGUAGGUGGCUUUUUAAGUCCGCCGUCAAAUCCCAGGGCUCAACCCUGAAUCGGCCGUCGAUACUCCCGGGCUUGAGCACUGUAGAGGCAGAUGGAAUUCCGGGUGUAGCGGUGGAAUGCGUAGAGAUCCGGAAGAACACCGGUGGCGAAGGCGGUCUGCUGGGCAGUAGCUGACACUGAGGCGCGACAGCGUGGGGAGCAAACAGG